RNA transcript from Bolinopsis microptera, 5188 nucleotides. It is a transcript of the gene named mitogen-activated protein kinase-binding protein 1-like, with no coding region annotated. Lineage: Eukaryota; Metazoa; Ctenophora; Tentaculata; Lobata; Bolinopsidae. The record is from RefSeq and is a predicted model, not a curated record. The transcript has 34 exons.
AUGUAGCAUUAUAAGUUUAGUAAUUCAUGAAUGACUUCUUCUGGAGGGAGUUAUCUGGUACUUUGCUCAUGUGAGUUAUGGUCAGAGAAAAUGGAUCAGGACAUGUGAAAAGAGUAAUCCGUAGUAAGGGGCAAUCGAGAGGUGGCAACAAUGCAGGGAGCACGCAAGAACCGAAGGAUGCAGAGAAGGAAAAUGUACCCAAGCCAGUAGUAAAAACAGUACGGAGACCCAGCAAUGCUGGAUCAAACCUGAAUGAAAAGAGAACUUUAGCACGUCAACAAAGUAAGGGAAAACAAGAAGAUGGAACACAGCUGAAAAAAGAAAAGUCAGUGCUGAGAAAAAGAGCCAAUAAUUAUGUAAGAAGGGGACAGAAAGACCAAAGAAGUGACAGAUUUGCUAGGCAUGCGUACGCUUUUCUUGACAGGGUAAAGCUAGAACAGGUGUUGGGUGUGAGCGCUACAAGUAAUAACUCCUUGUCAUAUGAUCCCAAUACGGAGAAUAUCUUGUACACUGCAGGGUGUGUAUGUGUACUGUACAAUAUAAAGAAGAGCAAGCAGACCCACAUAAAGAACGUAUCCAAGAAACCGCUGACUUGUGCAGCUUUCUCUAGAGAUGGAGCCUAUGUUGUUACCGGAGAGAGUGGUCACCAGCCGUGUGUAAGAGUGUGGGACGCAAACUCACAAGUACAAAUCAAGGAGCUCAGAGGUCAUCGGUUCGGAAUAUCAUCCGUUAACUUCUCUCCUAACGGAAAAGUGGUCGUAUCUGUCGGCUUUACUCACGACUCUAAUGUCUCUGUUUGGAAUUGGAAGACUGGAAAACAAGUGGCAGGAAACAAAGUAUCAAGUCGAGUAUUUGGGAUGAGCUUUAACGAGAAGGGUACCUACUUCGUAACAGUGGGGAUACGGUUCGUUAAGUUCUGGUACUUCAACUCAAACGACGACAAGGCCCUCAAUCAGCUGAGUCCGUGUGAGAAUAGAGCUGCUAUACUUGACAACCACCGCAACACCACCUUUAAAUCUGUUAUCUGUGGUAAAGGACAAUUCUCUCAUCUAACGUUUUGUUUGUCGAACGAGGGAAGCUUGUACAGUUUUGGAGAGAGUAGACGAGUGGAACGUUGGCUGGACUUGAAGGUGAACGACGCGUUUGCACUGUACGUGACAAACGACCACCUGCUAUGUGGGUGUAGUGACGGCGUGGUGAGGGUAUUUGAACCUGCCUCACUUACCCACAUUGUUAACCUCCCUAAACCUCACCCUCUCGGCGUGGACCUCGCUUCUUGUACCUCACCCAGUUGUAUGGUAUCAGUGUUACCCUCAUCUGAGUUCCCUGACUGUAUUGGGGUGGUCGCUGAUUCACUCACCUCCAAGGUGAUAGUGUUAUACAGAGAUAAGAGCUUGUACAUCUGGGAUAUCGCUAAUAUACACAGGGUGGGGAAGUACAGAUCAUAUCUCUUCCACAGCGCCUGUAUCUGCGCUAUUGAGGUUUACCCUCAAGAGUCAGAAAACUCCACGAUGAGUCUACCUAAAGGAACGUUCAUAACGGGUUCCUCAGAUAACACCAUAAAGAUAUGGAACUUGAACACUCUUGAUCCUGAGGAGCAAGUGAAAACAAAGAGAAAUAUCUAUUCGAAGGAGUUGUUGUCCCAGAUCUACACAACUGAUGACUUCUCGUGGUUGAGAGCGCGGAGAGGGAACGCUGUUAGUGACAACGCGAGCGGGAUCACGGCGCUCGCGAUCAGUCCUCGUGGAGACGUGGUCGCAAGUGGGGAUAAAAGUGGUAAUAUCAGAGUAUACGACCUAGAAGACCUGUCCUGCAGGGAGCUAGCCAUGAUAAUCGGACACGAAGCCGAGAUCUUAUCUCUCUCCUUUACGAGACCUGACAAUUACUGGCACUAUCUGGUGUCUGCCAGUAGAGACCGGCUUAUACACGUGUUUGAUGUGAGGAAGGGGUAUGAGUUGGUCCAGACGAUCUGUGAUCACUCAGCUAUUGUUACCAGUGUUAAGUUUGUGGAAAAACCCAACGAUUCCCAGCUGACACUGCUGUCCUGCUCAGCGGAUAAAAGUGUCCGGUUUCGGACCGGUUUUAAAACUGGCAGUCAUCAACUUCAGUUCCAAACAUACCAGCAUGUCCAAGAGAAGUCUACCUUUAAUGACAUGGAAAUCCCACAAUCCAGGGACCGAGUCAUAACGGGCUGUCAGGAUCGACAAAUAAGAACAUACGAUUUGUCGUCUGGCAAGCUACUGAACAGUUUUAAGAGCGGUAGUUCUGAAGACGGUGGAAUGAUAACUAACGUAGCCCUGGAUCCUUCCAGUACUUACCUAGCUGCAGCGGGGAAUGAUAAGAGCAUAUUCGUGCAUGAUCUUCAGAGUGGAGAUAGGCUGGCUAGCUUGCACGGUCAUUCAGAGAUGAUCACCGGUUUAAAGUUUACAAACGACUGUAAACGGCUGAUCUCAAUUUCUGGUGAUGGCUGUAUAUUUGUUUGGAGACUCAGUAACGAGGUGGUAAAGAACAUCAGGACCAAAAUGAGAGGUCAGGGCUUCGAACCGGAGAUAAGCGCUGAAACUCCCAUUCCUAAUAAAAAAGGAGAGGCCCCUACCUCCCCUCACUGUGAAUAUGCUAUUCCCAUCAUGGACCUUAUUAGUGACACCAAAACAUCUGAAGCGUCUGAGAGUCAACUAGCAGACACUUCAACUACCGAACAAUCUACCCCGGAAAAGAAGCGGAAGCAGUGGGCCAAACCUUCCAACCUCAACUUCCUGGACGAGAUAACCCCCAAUGAGGCUAUGACCCCUUGUACUCCAGCAAACCCAGCAGCUAAGAGAACAGCUCCGGACGGAGGUGAACACGUUCAUCCUGACCUGAUGUCAUUCGAGAGCCCCAAGAUCCCAGCAGAAGCAGAACCACAGGAACCACUUGUAACAGAGGAGGAGGUCACAGUGGAGGUCCAGGGUGGCGAGGUAGGGUUUGAAGAGGAAGAAGAGGAGGAGGAGGAUGAAGCUAGUGCUGAGGAUGAUUCAGAGCCUGUCAUUAUCUACGCUCCUGCUAAAGUCUUCUCUCCCAACGCUAAGAAGAGGCUAAGCGCGAUUUUCGACGUGAACGUGACACCCCAAAAAGCAAGAACCACCAGUGAGAACACUGAACUGACUGAUGAGGACGAGGAUGAUCAGGAUACCACGUUUCAAGGUGAACUUGACGAUGUUGAGGAGGAAGAAAUUAAGUCUGACUCUUUCCUCAAACACAAGUUCUCUGAGAUUGACGAGGAAUUUGACGACCUCGACCUGGACCUGCCAAGCGACAGUUUGAGUCCUAACUCCAGACACAGACAGAGCAUUUCUAGGAAGUUCUACAAAUCUAGCACCCCUGAGAAAUUAAAAGCUAAUAUUAACGGACAUCCUGAGACUCCUCGAUCAAAGGGCUCAUCUCCGCUCAGUAACCCAGGAUCUCCCGACCGAGUCAGGCAAGCUGUCGAGAACAAGAUUCUAGCCAAAAAGAAGGAGAAGUUCAGCGCCAACUCCGAGUUGAUCCAACAUGCUCAAAGCCGGGAGUUCCUCACCUUCCUGUUACAAUCCAGGAACUCCCCUCUGAUCGGAGAGGUUCCCUGUCCAGCACCGAUUCAGCUGCUUUUAAAUCAGCCUCCGCGGGGUCAUGUGACAACGAUGAUUUCGUUAUUCGUCGCAGAUCCUCGGUGUCUGUGAAAUCUCUGAAGGUAGAAUUGGCCAAGAUUGACGACAAUACUUCGUCUAGUUCGGUAGAGUACCUCAAAUCGGAUACGGAAAUCUCCUCUGGUAAGAACAUGGCGGCCCUGGCCAAAACUGCUUCUGAAUCAACUGGAGCAUCAUCUGACAGGAGUUUCAGCAAGUCUGCGAAAGAUGAUAAGAAAGCCGCUGGUAAAGUAAAGGGGAAGAACAAGUUAAAGUUAGCAUUUGGAGGCAAGACUAAGGAAGAAAAGAAAGAGAUAAAAAAGGAGGAGAAACUUGAGAAAGCUGCUGCGAAGAAAACAAAGAAAGAAGCAGCAGCACCUAAGAAAGAAGUAGCAGGUCCGAAAAAAGAUACUCCUGAUCAGAUAACGUCCCUUCACACGGCUUUCAAAGAUUCGCUCUCGAAAUACGAUGAGAUUUUAGCAGAGAAGCCGUCAGCAAGUAGAGAUGAUCAGCUGUCUAAGUUAAACCUUGUUUACAAGGAUAUGUUAGCAGACCUUCAGAGACGACUCAAAUCCUCUGAUAACAUGGCGUCAGCAGGAGGAGCAAGCGAGGACCUGAACAACACUCCCGCUGAGCAUCACGCCGCUAAAUGUGCUGAAAUAUGCGCUGAAAAGAUCCUAGAGUUGGUGCAACAGAAAUUACAAAACGGUAACCUGGUGUGACAACCCGAUGAAUUUGUUCUGUUAAGAUUUGAAGGACGAGACUGGGGUGGCGAGGGUGAAGUUAUUUUGCGCGCGAAAAUGAUUUUCAAAUGAGCUUGAAGUAGAUAAGAGAGUCAGAGACCAGCACCAAGUUGAUGAAUCUCUUGGCAGUUGUUGAGUUGUCACCUUUUUUUCUUUCUCGCCAGCCGGAGUUAAGUUUGUCCAAUGUAUGUGCUUUGUCGUGGCAAUGGCAUUUGAGAUGUAAAUAUUUAAAUAAGCCUUAUGCUGAUGUUAUGUUGUAUAUUUCCAUUCACUAUGGGAAAAUGUUCAAUAAAAGUGGACAUCUGAAAAUAAAAUGAACGUUUUCGAGGAAAUGCAUUCUUCAUUUCAAUUUGAUUACGUUUCAUUUUACGUUAUAUGUCGUGCAACUUUUUACUAAUGAGCUUCGUAAAUUUUUAAUUUGAUUUCUUUUUACUAUUUGAUAUGUGAACUUGUGACCAUGUUUUUAUUUGCUGCAAAAUAAUCCGUAGCAUAUACCUAAAGACGGUUUCAACCAAGGGUGAUAUGAAGGAUUUACGGGUGUUUAUUUAUAGUAUGAUUAAUAUAAUUUUACUCAGAAAGGUUUUGGCUCUCCACACCUGACUAGAAAAUUACUAAGAACUUUUACAUACUCCAAUGAAGUUGUUAUAUUACCCUAUAUAAUAUUAUUUCGAUUUGAAUACUUUGUGUGAUGUUUUAAGAAUACAACUAGUUUUGGCAAUGAAUUGUUGGUAUUGAAUAACUAGAGUUUUGUUUUCGAUAAAUUUUCUGUAAUGAUUUGAAUGAAUAUCUUACUCACUAACAAAA